Molecule: ribosomal RNA, 216 nt
Filed under: Glomeromycotina sp.
Lineage: Eukaryota; Fungi; Glomeromycota
Description: partial small subunit ribosomal RNA
Rfam family: Eukaryotic small subunit ribosomal RNA (bases 44-216)
Source: RNAcentral
GGGUCAGUAGGUUGGUCGUGCCACCGGUACGUACUGGUCACACUGAUUCCUCCUUCCUGAAGAACCGUAAUGCCAUUAAUUUGGUGUUGCGGGGAAACAGGACUGUUACUUUGAAAAAAUUAGAGUGUUUAAAGCAAGCUAACGCUUGAAUACAUUAGCAUGGAAUAACGAAAUAGGACGAUCGAUCCUAUUUUGUUGGUUUCUAGGAUUGACGUA